AAUAAUAAUAAUUAGGAAUAGUUGAAAAAAAUUAUUUGAAUUUGGACUCAAUGCCCAAAAGAAAAAAAAAAGUGAGAAUUGAAUCUGAUUUUUUAAUAGACCCAAAUGGCCCAAGAGAGAUUUGAUGUGGGCUGGAUCCGAAAAUAAUGACCCAAUAUAGAUGCGUUAUUAAUAUUACUUGAUUGCCCUUAAUGAAACAUGCAAUGUUAGUAAAAGAAAAGACAGGCUUAGGUAAUUAUGAGAUCCUCCUUUAAUAGUAUAAAUUAUAUUGGAACUAAUGAGUAAUGUGAAAAUAAAUUAUGUGAAACUGUGAUGAAUAAUUAUGUCGGUCGACGGUCAGUAAAUAUCUCUAAGUAUAUAUGUCAUAAUUAAUUUAAAUUCAUACUUUUUGUAAAAAACUAGCACAUAUAUAAAUGUAUUACAACAAUAUUAAUUAAUAAAAUGUUAUAUUAAAAUAUAAAAUUUUAAAAAGAAAUACGUAAUUAAUAUUAAACUUCAAGCAAAAUACCAUAUUAUUUCAUAAAAUUAUUUCAAAAUGUAUAUAUGAUCAGCUAGUGCAUUUCAAAGUAAAAGUUACUCUUUUUUUUUAAUUUGAAAAUUAUGAACUAAAUAUUGUUAAAAUCGGAUAAUAUUAAUAUUUGCACAUACAUUAGAUCUGAAAAAGAAAGAAAAAGAAGAAAAUAAAAUAUUUCUAAAAGACUUAACUUCUAUCGAUGAUAUUAAUACUGGUUAAUACAUUCGAUCUGAACAAGAAAAAAAUGUACGAAAAAACAACAUCCACAACCUUUUUUUUUUGUUACACAAAAUUUGUUUGGACAAUAUUUUGGAGAUUUUGGAGGUUACAAAUCAAAUUUACCUGACUAUUGGUGUUGUUGUAAUAUUUAAAUUUGUGUGAUAUUUAUGUUUUCAUAUAUUUUCUUAAAAGUUUUUUUUGUUAAGUUUCGUUUGUUUAUUGUUGUUUUCUAAAUCUAGUCUAAAAAUAUUUUUAAAUUUUAUUUUAAAGUUUUUUUAAAAUUUUAUGUAUAAAACUUAAAUUUAUAUAAAAGUUAAAAUAUUUAUGAGAUAUAAAUUUUUGUAAGGAUUAAAACGAUAAAUGAAAAAAUAUUUUAGAAUUAUAAAUGUGAUGUGUAAUUGUAAGGAUCAAAAUGCAAACAUCAAAUUUAAAGUUUUUAGUAAUGAAACUUCAAAUAUAGAAUUUCACUUUUCAAGACUUCAAAUUUAAAAUUUUGAAAUUCAUUUUUAGAGAGCAAAAAACUUCAUAUUUGGAGUUAGUGUCUUUUGGAGAUAAUCUUAGUCGUCUUCAUAUUUCUAUUUUUACCUUUUUCUAUUUUACCUUUUUUUACUUAACAAUUUUUUAUUAAAACAAAGGAAAAUAUUAUAUAUUUUUUAAAUUAAUUUAAGGGCAAUUCUCUCAAAUAGUCAUUUUUAAGUUUUUUUCAUAAAAAUAGAUCUCAAAAAAUAUAAUGACCAAAAUUGUCUCUUUUUAUUUUGAAAAUUUUAAUUUUUUUUUUAAAAAAAAAUUUGAAUUCACUCUCAAAAUCCAACCCCUUAACUCUAAACCCUAAGUAUUAGAUUAAUUAACCCUAAGGGUAUAAAUACAUAUUUACCUUUCAAUAAAUCUUUUUUUUGUUCAUUUUCUUCCUUGAAAGUCUAUUUUGUGAAAAUAAACUAAAAAUGGUUAUCUAAGAGAAUAUCUUAAUUUAAUUUAGAUUAAUUUAAAGGUAUAAUUGUAUUAACAAAGAUUAAAAUCUUAAUGGGACAAUAAAUUUACAUAAAGUCUUAAAGAGACAAACCCAACUUUUGAGUAUCCCAUUUUUCUAGUUUUAAAGUCUUAAAGUCUCUGAGGAUAUUAAUGGGGUAUUAAUGGGGUAUCGAGACCUAAUGGGGUUUCUGAGGAUAUUAAUGGGGUAUCGAGACCUCGGCAGAUUUGCAUGUAAUUUUUUAUAUUUUAAAUAAAAAGUAGGGGACUAACGUCUCCUGCAGCUUACAAAAAAAAAAACUUUUGAGUAUCCCAUUUUUCUAGUUUUCUCAUUUUAUUACGAAGAGAUUAGGAUCCAAUCUACUAAAUAAUUCAUUACUAUCCGUUACUUUUCAUGAACUGCCAUUAUUUCAAAUAAUCUAUUUCUUAACAACUUUUUAGAUAAUCUCAAACUCCCAAAAACUUAUAUUUCGGAUCAUAGUCCAUCUAGUUAGUUGAUUAGUUUGACCUUGUUGGUUAGAGACCUUUCUAACAAUAAGCAGCAUUUAAAGAUAAAUUGAAAGUGUGAUAAAACUGAAACGGAUUAAAAGAUAUUAUUUCUACAAGACUCUCAACGAAGAAAUCUUAUAUAUAUAAAGUAGACGUGUGCUCUGCUCACAGCUUUCCACAUCACCAAAGAGGAUGGGGCGUUUUUAAACACUUGGCGGCUUGGUAGUGUAUCGGUGUUCCUCACGCUCUUUCUUCCUUCUCGCGCGUCAUGAUGCUUCCGUCUGCUUUUAUUACUUUGGCUGGACUGGGUUUUUAAUCAUCUCAAGGUUUAGGCUUUUAUAAAACUAAUUGUCAAACCCAGUCUCAUAUCUCAGUGGGGCUUUUAGAAAAAUUAUGGUCAAACCCAAUGAAGAAUUUUAGGUUUUUUCUUCAUCGUCUCACGUUCCUCCUUUGACCGAUUUACCAGAAAACUAAAACUAAAACUUACCAGAAAACUAAAGCUCCUCUUCAUCCUUAAAUUUAGGUUGAUAUUGUAGACUGCAUCUUCUUGGGUUGGGUCAGAGUUUAGGCGUCGUUCGCUUGACGUCGAUAGUCUCUGCUCGUCUUGGUUUUAAAGUUUUUUUUCGUGAUCUAACUUUUUUGUUCUCUUUCAUAGCUUGAGUACGGCUCUACUCUUUGCUAAUUUCAUUUUGUUUUCCUUUCCCUCGCUGUUCUCUCAUCUCGUUGCAGUUUUCAUUGCUGCCGCGUCUCUAGUAGCUCUCAUUUCUGCCAUGUUUGCCACUCUAAGUUUGGAUAGUGUUUUCCUCUAUGUAUGCAGACUAGGCUUGGAAGGUUGUUUAUGGUAUCAAGCUUGAGCUCAGGUUUCUCAGUGGUUGGCUUCCAUUCUCACUCCCUCAGGUUGUUUCUUUUCUUUCCAUGUUUCCCUUGGUAUAGGUGUACGGAGUUAGUUUAUGGAGCUUUGGUCCUUUUUAUCCAGAGUUUUGUGGUUCUUCGCUGGCAUGGACGUCUUGUUUUAGUUUGUGAGGUGCUUCUUACCUCUUCGCUGGUGGCUGGCCUUUCGGGGUUUUAGGCAUGUGCCUUUCAACUUCGUACUCACUUUGGUGUUUUGGUUAUUUUUUUUCUUCUGACUCGCUUUCUUGGUUCUUUGCGUUGGUACUAUAUCACACACAUUUGUGUUCAGAGGAUUGCUUUGUCUCAGAUUUUAUCUUUUUGCUUUUUUCUGACUUCUAAUUAUUUUAGCUAAAACACUCUAUGGUAAGAUGAGGUAAUUUAGUCUUCAUUCUUAAUCUCUUUUCAGCUUCAGACCUUUAUUGAGUUAGUAUUAUUAUGAAAUUUUGCAUUUUUUUUUGUGGUUCUGGAGGUUUUAGGUUUAGACCAUAUGUUGUGCUCUAGUUUCUUCUUCUUAGUGUAGUUAUUUUAUGAUUUUUAAUAGUAAAAUAAAUAUUUAAUUUAUAAAUUAAAAAAAUAGAAAAUAGUAAAAAAUAAUAAAUAGUGAAAGUUAAUAUUAUUUUCAGUUGUUCAUAAGUUAAAUAUUUAAAAUUAUUAAUAUUAUUUUAGUUAUUUUUUUCAUCUUGAAUUUUACUGACCAAUAAAAUAAUUAUCAAAUUUCAUAUAAUGAUUCUUUGUGUGAGAACGAUUAGAUAACUAAAAUUCUCAGAAAUUCUAUUAGAUUCGAAAAUUUUGCCUUCUUUUGUUAUUUGUUUAUUUAUUCUAAUUUUCUAAGUUUUUGCAUUAUUCAAGUUCCAUCGGUAAUUUUUUUCAUAUAACAAAUAUGUGAAUUUUGAUAAAAAAAUAAAAGAGGACACGUGGCAGCAAACCUCCUUGCCACUUGUCAGAAGAAUGGAAAAUGUCUAGUUUAUAUAUAUAGAGGUAAUUUUUUAAUAUAACAAACAUGUGAAUUUUGAUGAAAAAAUAAAAGAGAACAUGUGGCAGCAAACCCCCAUGCCACUUUUCAGAAGAAGGAAAAAUGUGUACUUUAUAUAUAUAGAUCGGGUUUAUAUUAUUUUUUUGUCAGCAGUUGGAUUUAUAUUUAUAUGAAAAUAAUCUACUUAUAAUACAUUAAUAGAUUGUUUUAUAUUUUAUUUAUAUAUUAUAUAAAUUGAUUUUGUGUGGUUUUUUACCUUUUCAUUUAUUUUAAAUAAAUAAUGAUAAUUUUUAAUGUCUUAAAGUUUAAAAAAUUAUGUAAUAAAUUUUGUAAAUGAAUAAAAUAAUUCCAAAUAUCAUUAAAUUAUAAAAAUUAAUGUUAUAUAUGAUCUAGUGCAUAGAAUUUUGAGGAAGAAGAGUUACGUUGAUGGAUCUUUGCAAAGAGAACCCAUUUAUGUAUAAUAUUGAUGUGCAUUAACGUGUUUUAUUGCAUUAAUAGAACCCUUAUAAUUUUUAAUGUAUUUACAGACCCAUUUAAGUUUAAGAAAAGGACAAAAAUCAAUAUUGGCAAGGAAGAAGAAUUAUGUGGGGGAGGUCUGGUCAUCAAAGAGACAAAUGAUGAUAUAUUAUAUUUUGUGUUUAUACUGAUGUAUAUUAAAAUUUAUAAUUUUAUGUGCAAUGCGUAAGUAAAAUAAUUAUAUUGAAAUCUUUGUUCAAUUUAUUUAGGAAGCUGUGAGUUAGAGAUUUAUAUUGAUUUUUUUAUGCAUUCAAUUUAGGAAAUUAUGUAUUUAAUUUGAAAGAAAACAAUUAAUACAAAAAUAAGGAGAAGUUAUUACUUCAGUGAUAUUUAAGUGUAAUUAAAUUGAAAUUUUAAGGGUUAAUCUAUAUUUGUACUUCGGUUUUAAUAUAUUAGAUUUGUAUUUCAAUUUUAAUAUAUUAGAUUUACAAUUGCCUGAAACUGCGAUGAAUAUUAUAAAUGAUGACAUCAGACAAAACAUAAUUUCAAUGUACUUGUUACAUCCAAUUGGACCAUUCCCAUAGAAAAUUAUAAAACCUAAAAAAGGAAAAGUGUUGUCGUUUAUGGGUCACAACAUACCCAAAAAUAAAAAGAAGUGAUCACGAUCUCUAAAAUUCAUGUUAAUAAAGGAUGAUCAUCUUGAUUAAUUAGAGAGAGAGUGAGAUUAAUAAAAUAAAAAUUGAAUGGGUGAAAUAAAGAAGAGACAUGCUUAAUUGAUGAUGAUGCAGCUUGGCAUUAACUCGGUGUAGAUUACUAACAUUGUCUCCCUAAUGCUCCUUUUGUUUUUGUAUUUUUCUUGGGGCACUUUCGUUUGAAAAAGAUUGUUUUAUUCUUAUUAUCCUUUUGCGUUUUAAAUAAGGUUAUGACCCUUCACUAAUAUUGUAAGCCCUUGUGAAUAUUUUAGACCCACAAAAUCCAAAAUUUUGUUCCUCUUGAUUCAGUGACAAAUUGAAUCGAAGUUAUGACCCCAAUGUAGGGUUAUGUAUGUUUCCAUUAUAUAAAUACGACUUUACAGUGCACACAUAUAAUUUAAUAUCUCAUAAUCUCACAUAAAUGAAUUUACUAUAACCGUUUAACAAAUGUCCGUCGCUCUACAUGCUCCAAGUAUUAAUGUUCGAUUUGCCUCACUAGUACCCUACGAUUAUAAAACAAGUAAAAACAAACGACUUAGAUAUCAUAUAUGUAUUAUCUGGUAGUCAAAUAUUAACAAAGGAAGAGAGACGGUAAAAAGAGUCACCGAAAAAGCGACUCUCUCUAUAAGUGUGAGACUGAGCAUAAUCCCUAGAAAUAGCAAUUAAGAUCUAGCUGUUGGUACUUCCUUGAUUCACACAUUAUAUAUGUGCUUCUAAAUCUAUAUUUGUUGCAACCCUAUUCUGUUAGAAUUGUGUAAUCUCUUGCGGUCUGUAGAUUGACCACAAAUUAUUCAAAUAGAUCUCCCAAAACAAAAUUCAUCAACAGAAAAGACAAAGUUUAUUCAAUUUUGUUUGUAUAGGUAUAUUAAUCAUUGUCCAAAAAAGAGGGUAAAUUGAAGUUGACUUGUAUAUCGUAGAUUGAACCUAUAGACGUUGGACAAGCAUGAAACUCGUCGAUCCAUAUUUGUCGAUGUUAAAAAUGUUUAGAUAAACCAUAUUUUUAUAUAAUACUAUAAGAUUAUCUUAUGCCUAAUGGAAUAUUUUCAAAAGAGCUGAGAAUACAUGGAAUGGACUUUUGGGGUGAUUAAAGAAAUGGGGCCAUGAUUAUCGUAAGUGCGGAGGUAAUGAAUUACGCAUUAAGCAACUAAAAGAAAGUUAAAGAGGAGUUAACUAAAUCGAUACUUCAAAUUAAAAAAAAGGUUCAUUGAAAAUGCCCUUUGCGUUGUUUUAGGUUUUGGGAUUACAGAGGGAUAAGCUCCAAAGAUUAUAGAUCCAAAUUUGAGCUGUAAUUAGGAGGUUCACACGUCUAUUAUCAUAGCAAACUACAUCAAAACUCAUAACGGAUUUGGUACCUAUGGUUGUGCUUAAUCAAGAACCAAAAUUAGGUACAUUUAAAAAUUAAAGAUUCCAUAAAAACAAUGCAAUUCCAAUAUUUGGGGCGUGGAAUGAGUAUGUAUUAGCAUCAGUAUCUUGUGUGUUCCUAAAGAUCAAUCAUACUAAUCUUUGGGAAUCGCAUUCUACAUUACAUAGUCUUACAUUUAUAUUGGUUAAACAUUCAUAACCGUAUAGUAGAAGCGUCGUAUUUCUUUUAAUAUACUGUAUGGUGGAAUGAUUAAAAGAUAACAAAUUAACUCAGCUACAAACACUAAUUUUAAAUUUACAGAGUCGUAGGAUUGAUAAAUCAAACCAAAGUAGAGAUAUUAUUUGAUGAUCGCUGGAUUGACCAAUGAACAAGUGCAUACAUAACUCCUCAGUCUACACAAUACAUAUUUGAAGUGAUCCCUCACUACUAAAACUUUUGGUACAAUAUCUUGAUAAUCUGUUGAGUUUAUCAGAAGGUUAUGUAUAUUAAAUUCACAAUAAAUUUCAAUGAUGUUAGAUUCGGGUUUAUUAUGGGCUUCCAACUUAAAACCAAUUGAUGGUUAGUGGAUUGAUCAUAACCCUUUAUAUAUUACUUAAUAUCUCUUACAAUUUCCGAUGUGGGAUAUAUAUCCAUAAUAUCCUCUUUGAGAUGAUGGCUCUUAUCAUCCAGAAAUCUCAGAACUUUAGGACAUUUAUACUCGGUCGAACGACUUUAACAGAACUUUUAUACCCGGUUGGAAGGGUUAAUCACGAUCUUUAUACCCUAUCAGAAGGGUUAGUUUUAAUUUUAAUUAGGAAUUUAGGGUAUUUAGGAUAUGGACUCUCAUACCAUGAUAGAUUUGGGUUUAUUAUGGAAUUCCAACUUACCAAUUGGUGAUUAGUGGAUUGACCCUAACCCUUUAUAUAUUAUUUAAUGUAUUUUCGAAUUCUCGAUGUGGGAUAUAUAUUCCUAAUAAAUAAUUUUUUUCAAUGAAUAAAUAUCGGGCCCAUAAAUAUCACAUUCAAAAGGUUAGGUGUAGAUGCUAUUUCUACAUCUCAAAUCUAAGGUUCUUUUUGUUACAUAAAUAAAAAGAUAAGUACUACCGCAGACUAAAAGAAGACAAGCGAAGCACGACUUCGGAUAUCCAUAAUCCAAUUAGGAUACAUAUAUACAAUUAGUUUUGUAGUAAUUGUGACGAAAACAUUGUAGUUCUAUCGCCUCCUUAAGCAUAAAGCAAAACUAAAACAACGAUAUAAAUGUACCUAUAUAGGACCCUAGCCAAUUCUCUUCGACCUCUAAAGCAAAGUGUGCCGCCUUCUUUCUUUCUUACAUCAAAUUCUAAUAAUUUAUAGGAAAAUGUAGUUAAGAAUGAAUAUUAGUAAUGUUCAUAUCGCGACUAGAGAUGCAAAUAAGAUCAAUCAUUUAAAAAAGUUUUGCCCCACAAGCUUCCAAUGAUGAAAUGAUUAUGUGGAAGACAUAGGAAGGUUUUCACUUUUCACCAACUACUCUUCAUUAUUCCCCCACAUAAUGUCUAAUAUUAGUGGCAUCAUCAAUUCUAACUUUUGUGUUUUCUUUUCCUUGUAUCUUCUUAUUUUACAUGAUUAAGAAAUCUGGGAUUUGAUUAAUUAUAAACAAAAAAUACAACCUUGAACCUACAGCUUGAACCUACAGUUUUAUCAUUUAUCAAGUCGUGGUCCAUGAAUGUGUACUGGAAAAGAAUGAUCGAUUUUUUUUUCGGAAAUAUAAUUUAAUAACUAUAAUAAGGAUUUGUUCCAAAAAAACUAUAAUAAGGUGUCACAAACAAUCUUUUACGUGUUAUUUUUCCUUUUGACAUUUUGGCGUCCCGUAAAAUAUAAAUAGCAGUUGGUGAAAUAAUAUUUUGUCUAGCUUGGGCUUUGGAAGUGCAUGUAUUUCCGUAAUAUACGCCUCGUUUUGUUCGUUCUUUCCGUUACAUUACGUUACGGGUUUCAUUUCAGUUCUCUGGCUGAGUGCAAAACUGCAAAUGAAUUCUUUUAAAAGAAUAUUUGAGUAUCAAAACUAAACUAGAAAGCACAGAUUAACUAGGAACUGCAUCAGUCCAAUAAACGAGACUAUAUGCUUGAAGGAUUACUCACAAAAUGGUUUGAAUUGGGAACAAUAACAAUGGUCUCGUCUAUAUACAGUCACGCCCUUCACAGACUUGUAAUUAAAAUAACGUAUUAUUAUGGUUUUAGGAGUAUAUACUCUAAGUCAUGUCCACGUUUUCUACUAUAUAUGGUUUUGAUUUGAAUGAGAAAAUAGCUGCUAUUUUGACCCUGGUGGCAUGGUGCAGACGAGAAUCCUACUUUGGUGACAACACAGCUUAAAUUUAUAACCCUGCCAGCUAACAUAUAUUCUUUAAAGCUACUUCAGAUAUCAGACAUCAUUUUGGUUUGAUCAUUACAAAUACUAUAUUCAUAUUACCACUUUUAAUGUUUACGCAAACGAUUUUUAUCCUCAUUUUUAACGAAAGGUAAAAUAUAUUUAUUUUUUUAGGAUUAAUUAAUCUAGACUUAAAGUUGAAAGUUGAGGGGUGGGGUAAAGCCUUUACAAUGUAAAAUUUAUGAUUCUAAUAAAUAUAUAAAUAAAUACUUAAAAAUAUAAAAUUUUUAAAAAAUAGUUUCAAACAGAAUUUUUGAUUUUCAAAAAGAAAUUUUGAAAAAAAGAAAAAAACAACUAAAAAAAAAUUCAAAAAAGAAAUUCAAAAAUAUAUUUAUAAUUCGAAAACAUAAAAAAAUAUUUUUUUUAAUAUUUUAUUUAAUUUGUUAUAUAUAUAUAUAUAACAAGAGUAUAAAAAUCUUUGCCCCUUAAUGAAGAAAAUAUUUUUGAAAAUAUCAUUUCAAUGGUGGUAAAGAUGAAUGGUACCAUAAAAAGUGGUAAACCUGAAAUUCACCCAAAUGUUUAACUUGCCUUCUUCUUCUUCUUCUCCAAUUUGAGAUUUUGAUCCAAUCUGUAGCCUAAGGAGAAAUGAAACGGGGAAACUGCGACAAAUCAAAGAAGGUGGUCCAUGGCUGAUUUACAGCUAAAGAAAAGAGGAUACAUCUGGGAAAUCUCUGUUGGGUUCAAUGCAGCUCUUGCUGCCAUCUCUGCGAAGUUUUUCUCACUAUCGUAAUGAAAAUCUUAACUACUAAAUAUAUCCCAUUUUCAUAUGUGUAACCUUUUUUUUCAUGGGUUUGCUUUUGCGUGCAAGUAUAAAGAAAAACUUCUUGUUAUCAGAUGAAUUAAGUUGUUUGAAGUCUUAGAGCUUUUUCUGUUAAAGACCAACUUAAAAGAUUUUCCUGAUUUUGUUGCAGUUAGAUACUACUGUAAUCAAUGUCAAAGAUGCAACAACCUAAUUACUGCACGGGUCUUUUUCUGCUUUUCAUUCAAAUCAACAUGCAGUGGCAAGAAACUAAUUCAUAAACUACUACAAUUUGUGCCACCAAAAAUGUCUGAAACUUUCUAACCACAAACUAUGCGGUUGGAUUAAAGAACCAGCUAUGUCGUGGGGUUACUUACAUAUUUUUCCAUUAAAAAUAUGACAAUUCUGUUUCAUAUGUAAAAAGACCCCGUUGUUUUUGAGACAGCAUGCAUGUAUACCCAGUGCCGAGUCCGGUGGUGCCUAAAGCACAUUCAAAAAAUGUUUCCCCUUAAUUAUAAAUUUUUUUUUUACAUUUUUAACAUUAUUAAAUUUUUUUUUUUUAAAAGUACAUAAAUAUCAAUAAUUGUUUUUCAAAUUUUUUUCAUAGUUAUUCAAAAGUUUUGAAUAACCAAGUGUUUUAACUAGUUCAUGUUCUAUUAAUAUUAUAGACAAUACAUUUAAUAACUUAUGAAACAUAUCCCAACAUAAAUAAUUUUGUUGAACUUUAGUUUUUUUUUUUAAAAGUAAACAUUAAAACGAGAGAUAUAACAAUUCUAGCAACAGCCAGUGAACAAUAGAAAACAUAGAUAAUUAAAAAUGGUCAAUUUUGAAUUAGUAGAAUACAAUAAAUAAUUGGAGAGCGUAGACUAAAUUUUUAUAUAUUUACUCUCUAUAUUUAUUGUUCUAUAUACUUAAAGCAGUAGCACUAUCAAUGCCUAUUUUCUCAAUGAACAUAUUUCGACUGCCAAAGGAAGUCUGUAAUGAGAUAAAUGCUGUGCUAGCUCACUUCUGGUGGGGCUCGGGGGAUAAGAAAGGGCUACACUGGUAUAGCUGGAACAGAAUUUGUAUUCCUAAGCGAGAAGGGGGGCUUGGAUUUAAGGACCUUGCAGCUUUCAAUCAAGCCUUAUUGGCUAAACAAGUAUGGAGAAUCAUGCAAAACCCGAAUUGUCUUAUGGCGAGAGUACUUCAAGCAAGAUACUUCCCAGAAGGUAAUAUCCUUGAUGCUAAGCUGAAAAAGAAAGCGUCUUACGCUUGGAAGUCUAUAUUACAUGGUAAGGACUUUAUUAUUAAAGGGAUGAGAUAUAUUAUUGGAGAUGGAUCCCAUACAGAUAUGUGGAAGGAUUCAUGGUUACCGUUGCAUCCUCCUAGACCACCAAGAUCGAGAGAAGUAGUUUGUGAUAACAUCAAAGUACAGAGUUAUAUGAAGGAAGGGAGCCAGGAAUGGAACUUAGAGAUACUCAGAUCUAAAGCGCAUCAAGAUCUGUAUGGAUGGCAUUACAAUGAGGAUAGGAUUUAUACAGUCAAGUCGGGGUAUUGGCUCGCAACACAUCUCCCGAACCAAAAUUGCAUUCCACCAACAUAUGGAAAUGUGAAUUUAAAGCAAAAGGUAUGAAAGACUAAGACUCCAUCGAAGGUGCAACAUUUCCUUUGGAAAUUGCUAUCUCGAAGCUUAGCUACUGGAAAUAAUCUGAGAAGGAGACAUAUUACAAAUGAUACAAUAUGUAAAAGAUGUUACUUGGAGGAAGAAACAGAAGAACAUCUAUUCUUCACCUGUCCAUAUGCGAAACAAAUUUGGAGAGCAUCUGGUGUAGCAAAUCCUGUUUUUGAUGAUCCAAAUGAAUUGCUUGAUACAAAAGUAAAAGCGUGUAUGGAGUUUGCUUCUUCAUCAAGGUUAGUGCACUUCCAAAACCUUCCUAUAUGGUUAUUAUGGGAUAUAUGGAAGAGUAGGAAUAAGCUUAUAUUCCAAAAGAAAAAUAUGCAUUGGAAAACCGUGUUGAGAUAUGCGAAAGAUGAUGCCCAAGAAUGGAAAGGGAUUGAUUUGAAUGAUGGAAGGGGUCGUGCAACAACUAUCAGACAGAAUCAGGAAUGCGAGGAAAUAAGAAGAUGGAGUUUGCCAACAAAUGGGAGGAUUAAGUGUAAUGUAGAUGGUUCAUUCCGAAAUGAGAACACAGAGGCUACUGAAGGUUGGUUAUAUCGUGAUGAAGAAGGUCUGUAUAAGGGAGCAGUACAGGCACGAGGUACGAAGGUCGGUACAGCAUUGGAAGGAGAACUACAGGCUAUACUUAUGGCUAUUCAACACUGUUGGACUCAAGGGUUUCGUAAGAUUAUUAUAGAGAGUGACUGCAGAAAAGCUAUUGACAUCAUCAAUAAGAAGACUCUACAUUUUAAUGUUUAUAAUUGGACAAGAGAGAUAAGAUGGUGGGAGCAGAAGUUUGAAGAUAUCACAUUUCAGUGGAUCAAAAGGGAAGGCAAUAAACCGGCUGAUCGAUUAGCAAAAACUAUCUUACCCAACAUGAACUCAUUCAAUUUUCAUUACUAUGUACCAAAAGGGAUUACUAAUCUCCUACAUGAAGACUAUGUACUAUCACAUUUAGUAUAAAUAAAAUUGCUGUUAUAAAAAAAA
Long non-coding RNA from Brassica rapa (field mustard), 12304 nucleotides. RefSeq lists it as uncharacterized. Lineage: Eukaryota; Viridiplantae; Streptophyta; Magnoliopsida; Brassicales; Brassicaceae. The record is from RefSeq and is a predicted model, not a curated record.